AUAUAUGUAUAUAUAUAUAUGUAUGUAUAUAUAUAUGUAUCUGGACUCAUGAGUCAUCUUCGUAGUCAUAAAACGAGACAAAUGAGUGACAACCUGGCCACUGGUGGUGGUGUAACACUCCAUACUAAUUAUAUCUGUCGGGCAUGCGGAAAAGAGUGUAAUUCGGCAGGAGGACUUAAACGACAUGCAAAGGUACAUGAAGCCCAGUUACAACUACAGCCGGCUAUUAACGGUAAGGGUUCUAGUUGCCAAUUUUGUACAAGACAUUGUAGAUC
Octopus sinensis (East Asian common octopus) is the source of this 275-nucleotide long non-coding RNA. RefSeq lists it as uncharacterized. Lineage: Eukaryota; Metazoa; Mollusca; Cephalopoda; Octopoda; Octopodidae. The record is from RefSeq and is a predicted model, not a curated record. The transcript has 3 exons.